CAUAUGGUGAUGGCAAAGGUGUAGAACACA
RNAcentral lists this non-coding RNA (30 nucleotides) under Cricetulus griseus (Chinese hamster). Lineage: Eukaryota; Metazoa; Chordata; Mammalia; Rodentia; Cricetidae. The record is from RNAcentral.